AACGUAGGAGACAAACGUUAUCCGGAGUUACUGGGCGUAAAGGGCGUGUAGGCGGUAUGUUAAGUCUGGCGUGAAAGCUCUCGGCUAAACCGGGAGAGGUCGUUGGAUACUGGCAAACUAGAGGAUGGUAGAGGCGUGUGGAAUUCCGGGUGUAGUGGUGAAAUGCGUAGAGAUCCGGAGGAACACCGGUGGCGAAGGCGGGUCUCUGGGCCGAUACUGACGCUGAGGAGCGAAAGCGUGGGGAGCGAACAGG
Molecule: ribosomal RNA, 253 nt
Filed under: uncultured bacterium
Lineage: Bacteria
Description: partial 16S ribosomal RNA
Rfam family: Bacterial small subunit ribosomal RNA
Source: RNAcentral